Molecule: ribosomal RNA, 510 nt
Filed under: uncultured bacterium
Lineage: Bacteria
Description: bacterial SSU rRNA
Rfam family: Bacterial small subunit ribosomal RNA
Source: RNAcentral
AACGAACGCUGGCGGCGUGCUUAACACAUGCAAGUCGAACGCGAAAGGGACUUCGGUCCUGAGUAAAGUGGCGCACGGGUGAGUAACGCGUAGAUAACCUGUCUUCAUGUCUGGAAUAAUACGCCGAAAGGGGUACUAAUACCGGAUAUCUUGCUUUUCAUAAGUUAUGCAAGCAAAGGUGGCCUCUGCAUAUGCUACUGCAUGAAGAGGGGUCUGCGUACCAUUAGCUAGUAGGUGGGGUAAUGGCCUACCUAGGCGACGAUGGUUAGCGGGUCUGAGAGGAUGAUCCGCCACACUGGCACUGGAACACGGGCCAGACUCCUACGGGAGGCAGCAGUGAGGAAUAUUGCGCAAUGGGGGAAACCCUGACGCAGCGACGCCGCGUGAGUGAGGAAAGGCCUUCGGGUCGUAAAGCUCUGUCAAGAGGAAAGAAGUGUACAAUGGCUAAUACCUGUUGUAUUCGACGGUACCUCUAAAGGAAGCACCGGCUAACUCCGUGCCAGCAGCUGC